CCCCUCAAAUACCACCUUAUCCGUGAGGCCUUCUCUGGCCACCCCUUUAAAACCUGCGAUUGUGGUGGUCAUAGAGGAGGAAAAGUAAUAGUGAAGCUGGCCUCACAGUGCCUACAGUCUGCGGGCUAGUUUCAAACAAGG
RNAcentral lists this small nucleolar RNA (141 nucleotides) under Myotis lucifugus (little brown bat). RNAcentral's name for it is "Small nucleolar RNA SNORA61 (ENSMLUG00000021328.1)". Lineage: Eukaryota; Metazoa; Chordata; Mammalia; Chiroptera; Vespertilionidae. The record is from RNAcentral.